AGAGUUUGAUCAUGGCUCAGGAUGAAUGCUGGCGGCGUGCCUAAUACAUGCAAGUCGAGCGGUAAGGCCCUUCGGGGUGCACGAGCGGCGGACGGCUGAGUAACGCGUGGGAACAUGCCCCAAAGUGAGGGAUAACGCACCGAAAGGUGUGCUAAUACCGCAUAUGGUCUUCGGAUUAAAGGAUUUAUCCGCUUUGGGAGUGGCCCGCGUACGAUUAGAUUGUUGGUGAGGUAACGGCUCACCAAGUCGACGAUCGUUAACUGGUCUGAGAGGAUGAUCAGUCAGACUGGAACUGAGACACGGUCCAGACUCCUACGGGAGGCAGCAGUAAGGAAUCUUCCACAAUGGGCGAAAGCCUGAUGGAGCAACGCCGCGUGCAGGAUGAAGGCCCUCGGGUCGUAAACUGCUUUUAUGAGUGAAGAAUAUGACGGUAACUCAUGAAUAAGCACCGGCUAACUACGUG
RNAcentral lists this ribosomal RNA (463 nucleotides) under uncultured bacterium. RNAcentral's name for it is "bacterial SSU rRNA". It matches the Rfam family "Bacterial small subunit ribosomal RNA", at positions 8 to 507 of the family's 1533-position model. The record is from RNAcentral.